Ribosomal RNA from Cercocebus atys (sooty mangabey), 118 nucleotides. The record is from Ensembl. Lineage: Eukaryota; Metazoa; Chordata; Mammalia; Primates; Cercopithecidae.
GUCUAUGGCCAUACAACCCUGAACACACCCGAUCUCGUCUGAUCUCGGAAGCUAAGCAGGGUUGGGCCUGGUUAGUACUUGGAUGGGAAAAUGUAGAAAACAGUUCAGACUAAAGUCA